This 468-nucleotide ribosomal RNA is filed under the name uncultured bacterium. RNAcentral's name for it is "partial 16S ribosomal RNA". It matches the Rfam family "Bacterial small subunit ribosomal RNA", at positions 28 to 507 of the family's 1533-position model. The record is from RNAcentral.
GACGAACGCUGGCGGCGUGCUUAACACAUGCAAGUCGAACGGAAAGGCCCUGCUUUUGUGGGGUGCUCGAGUGGCGAACGGGUGAGUAACACGUGAGUAACCUGCCCUUGACUUUGGGAUAACUUCAGGAAACUGGGGCUAAUACCGGAUAGGAGCUCCUGCUGCAUGGUGGGGGUUGGAAAGUUUCGGCGGUUGGGGAUGGACUCGCGGGUUAUCAGCUUGUUGGUGGGGUAGUGGCUUACCAAGGCUUUGACGGGUAGCCGGCCUGAGAGGGUGACCGGCCACAUUGGGACUGAGAUACGGCCCAGACGCCUACGGGAGGCAGCAGUGGGGAAUAUUGCAGAAUGGGCGGAAGCCUGAUGCAGCAACGCCGCGUGCGGGAUGACGGCCUUCGGGUUGUAAACCGCUUUCGCCUGUGACGAAGCGUGAGUGACGGUAAUGGGUAAAGAAGCACCGGCUAACUACGUG